AUCCACGACAUAAAUAGGGCUGACAUAUACUAAUCACACUUUGCUAAUGAUCAUAAAACUUCACAACUUUACUUAAACGUAGACUUAUAAUUUGAAAUUGUUUCCAUUUAAAACUGGAUAAAUAAUUA
Long non-coding RNA from Haliotis rubra (blacklip abalone), 128 nucleotides. RefSeq lists it as uncharacterized. The record is from RefSeq and is a predicted model, not a curated record. NCBI's taxonomy places the organism in Eukaryota, Metazoa, Mollusca, Gastropoda, Lepetellida, Haliotidae. The transcript is spliced from 3 exons.